This 2904-nucleotide ribosomal RNA is filed under the name Escherichia coli. RNAcentral's name for it is "23S ribosomal RNA". It matches the Rfam family "Bacterial large subunit ribosomal RNA". Lineage: Bacteria; Pseudomonadati; Pseudomonadota; Gammaproteobacteria; Enterobacterales; Enterobacteriaceae. The record is from RNAcentral.
UUAAGCGACUAAGCGUACACGGUGGAUGCCCUGGCAGUCAGAGGCGAUGAAGGACGUGCUAAUCUGCGAUAAGCGUCGGUAAGGUGAUAUGAACCGUUAUAACCGGCGAUUUCCGAAUGGGGAAACCCAGUGUGAUUCGUCACACUAUCAUUAACUGAAUCCAUAGGUUAAUGAGGCGAACCGGGGGAACUGAAACAUCUAAGUACCCCGAGGAAAAGAAAUCAACCGAGAUUCCCCCAGUAGCGGCGAGCGAACGGGGAGCAGCCCAGAGCCUGAAUCAGUGUGUGUGUUAGUGGAAGCGUCUGGAAAGGCGCGCGAUACAGGGUGACAGCCCCGUACACAAAAAUGCACAUGCUGUGAGCUCGAUGAGUAGGGCGGGACACGUGGUAUCCUGUCUGAAUAUGGGGGGACCAUCCUCCAAGGCUAAAUACUCCUGACUGACCGAUAGUGAACCAGUACCGUGAGGGAAAGGCGAAAAGAACCCCGGCGAGGGGAGUGAAAAAGAACCUGAAACCGUGUACGUACAAGCAGUGGGAGCACGCUUAGGCGUGUGACUGCGUACCUUUUGUAUAAUGGGUCAGCGACUUAUAUUCUGUAGCAAGGUUAACCGAAUAGGGGAGCCGAAGGGAAACCGAGUCUUAACUGGGCGUUAAGUUGCAGGGUAUAGACCCGAAACCCGGUGAUCUAGCCAUGGGCAGGUUGAAGGUUGGGUAACACUAACUGGAGGACCGAACCGACUAAUGUUGAAAAAUUAGCGGAUGACUUGUGGCUGGGGGUGAAAGGCCAAUCAAACCGGGAGAUAGCUGGUUCUCCCCGAAAGCUAUUUAGGUAGCGCCUCGUGAAUUCAUCUCCGGGGGUAGAGCACUGUUUCGGCAAGGGGGUCAUCCCGACUUACCAACCCGAUGCAAACUGCGAAUACCGGAGAAUGUUAUCACGGGAGACACACGGCGGGUGCUAACGUCCGUCGUGAAGAGGGAAACAACCCAGACCGCCAGCUAAGGUCCCAAAGUCAUGGUUAAGUGGGAAACGAUGUGGGAAGGCCCAGACAGCCAGGAUGUUGGCUUAGAAGCAGCCAUCAUUUAAAGAAAGCGUAAUAGCUCACUGGUCGAGUCGGCCUGCGCGGAAGAUGUAACGGGGCUAAACCAUGCACCGAAGCUGCGGCAGCGACGCUGAUGCGUUGUUGGGUAGGGGAGCGUUCUGUAAGCCUGCGAAGGUGUGCUGUGAGGCAUGCUGGAGGUAUCAGAAGUGCGAAUGCUGACAUAAGUAACGAUAAAGCGGGUGAAAAGCCCGCUCGCCGGAAGACCAAGGGUUCCUGUCCAACGUUAAUCGGGGCAGGGUGAGUCGACCCCUAAGGCGAGGCCGAAAGGCGUAGUCGAUGGGAAACAGGUUAAUAUUCCUGUACUUGGUGUUACUGCGAAGGGGGGACGGAGAAGGCUAUGUUGGCCGGGCGACGGUUGUCCCGGUUUAAGCGUGUAGGCUGGUUUUCCAGGCAAAUCCGGAAAAUCAAGGCUGAGGCGUGAUGACGAGGCACUACGGUGCUGAAGCAACAAAUGCCCUGCUUCCAGGAAAAGCCUCUAAGCAUCAGGUAACAUCAAAUCGUACCCCAAACCGACACAGGUGGUCAGGUAGAGAAUACCAAGGCGCUUGAGAGAACUCGGGUGAAGGAACUAGGCAAAAUGGUGCCGUAACUUCGGGAGAAGGCACGCUGAUAUGUAGGUGAAGUCCCUCGCGGAUGGAGCUGAAAUCAGUCGAAGAUACCAGCUGGCUGCAACUGUUUAUUAAAAACACAGCACUGUGCAAACACGAAAGUGGACGUAUACGGUGUGACGCCUGCCCGGUGCCGGAAGGUUAAUUGAUGGGGUUAGCGGUAACGCGAAGCUCUUGAUCGAAGCCCCGGUAAACGGCGGCCGUAACUAUAACGGUCCUAAGGUAGCGAAAUUCCUUGUCGGGUAAGUUCCGACCUGCACGAAUGGCGUAAUGAUGGCCAGGCUGUCUCCACCCGAGACUCAGUGAAAUUGAACUCGCUGUGAAGAUGCAGUGUACCCGCGGCAAGACGGAAAGACCCCGUGAACCUUUACUAUAGCUUGACACUGAACAUUGAGCCUUGAUGUGUAGGAUAGGUGGGAGGCUUUGAAGUGUGGACGCCAGUCUGCAUGGAGCCGACCUUGAAAUACCACCCUUUAAUGUUUGAUGUUCUAACGUUGACCCGUAAUCCGGGUUGCGGACAGUGUCUGGUGGGUAGUUUGACUGGGGCGGUCUCCUCCUAAAGAGUAACGGAGGAGCACGAAGGUUGGCUAAUCCUGGUCGGACAUCAGGAGGUUAGUGCAAUGGCAUAAGCCAGCUUGACUGCGAGCGUGACGGCGCGAGCAGGUGCGAAAGCAGGUCAUAGUGAUCCGGUGGUUCUGAAUGGAAGGGCCAUCGCUCAACGGAUAAAAGGUACUCCGGGGAUAACAGGCUGAUACCGCCCAAGAGUUCAUAUCGACGGCGGUGUUUGGCACCUCGAUGUCGGCUCAUCACAUCCUGGGGCUGAAGUAGGUCCCAAGGGUAUGGCUGUUCGCCAUUUAAAGUGGUACGCGAGCUGGGUUUAGAACGUCGUGAGACAGUUCGGUCCCUAUCUGCCGUGGGCGCUGGAGAACUGAGGGGGGCUGCUCCUAGUACGAGAGGACCGGAGUGGACGCAUCACUGGUGUUCGGGUUGUCAUGCCAAUGGCACUGCCCGGUAGCUAAAUGCGGAAGAGAUAAGUGCUGAAAGCAUCUAAGCACGAAACUUGCCCCGAGAUGAGUUCUCCCUGACCCUUUAAGGGUCCUGAAGGAACGUUGAAGACGACGACGUUGAUAGGCCGGGUGUGUAAGCGCAGCGAUGCGUUGAGCUAACCGGUACUAAUGAACCGUGAGGCUUAACCUU